AUUGAACGCUGGCGGCAGGCCUAACACAUGCAAGUCGAGCGGAUGAACGGAACUUGCUCCUGCAUUCAGCUGGCGACGGGCGGGUGAUUCAUACGUAUCUCCCUUUCAGUUUGGGCUAGGGUCCGUACGUGGGGGCUAAUACACUAAACGUUCAUAGGUCGAACGUGUGGGAUCAUCGGACCUCACGCUCUUAGCUGAGCCUAGGUGGGAUUAGCUAGUUGGUUGGGUAAAGGCCUACCAAGGCGACGAUCCGUAGCUGGUCUGAGAGGAUGAUCAGUCACACUGGAACUGAGACACGGUCCAGACUCCUACGGGAGGCAGCAGUGGGGAAUAUUGGACAAUGGGCGAAAGCCUGAUCCAGCCAUGCCGCGUGAGUGAAGAAGGUCUUCGGAUUGUAAAGCUCUUUUAUUUGGGAAGAACAGCAGUAAGUUAAUACCUGGCUGUUUUGACGGUACCAAAAGAAUAAGCACCGGCUAACUUCGUG
RNAcentral lists this ribosomal RNA (484 nucleotides) under uncultured bacterium. RNAcentral's name for it is "partial 16S ribosomal RNA". It matches the Rfam family "Bacterial small subunit ribosomal RNA", at positions 30 to 507 of the family's 1533-position model. The record is from RNAcentral.